AAAUGCUGUACUUGGCAUUUCCAUUUUGGUU
Molecule: small RNA, 31 nt
Filed under: Foraminifera environmental sample
Lineage: Eukaryota; Foraminifera
Description: partial Mitochondrion-encoded tmRNA
Source: RNAcentral